CUCCCUGGAACAGGCUGGCUUCAUUCUGCAGUAAAACCAUUCCUGGAAGGACAGGGAUCUGGGGUGCUCAGGCUCCCUGUCCACUCUAACGAAGGUAGAGAGUGAGCUUGGCCACUUCCCCGUGACCCUGAAAGGCGAUGUGGUUGGUGGCAGCUUGUGCUGGAGGCGCAGGUCCCUGGGCCAGGCCCUGGGCUCAACGUGCCGCCAACAGCCUCGCUGAGUCACUGCCACUCUGAGUCUUCCCAUCUGUGAGAUGGGGAGGGACCUGGACAGGACGUGGUGACCUCACAGCUCUCAGAUCCCACAUCGACCGGCCUGGGGUUGCUAGAUGGAGACCACAUGUGAAAGAAGAAAUGGGGAACAGCCCAGACACCAUACGGGAGAUGUUUUGGUGACUCUCUCACCUCCCAUUCCGUCAAGACCCAGCUUCAGCAAAGACCUAAACCUCAGACUCCCACCGUCUCUCCUGGGGCUGCCUUCUGUUGCCCUGCGUCUGUGUGUCCACCCUCCUCCUGAAGAAGUCAGACCCCUGCAGUGCCGACCCAGAGCAGAACCGCA
This is a long non-coding RNA of Cervus elaphus (red deer), 558 nucleotides long. RefSeq lists it as uncharacterized. The transcript has 4 exons. NCBI's taxonomy places the organism in Eukaryota, Metazoa, Chordata, Mammalia, Artiodactyla, Cervidae. The record is from RefSeq and is a predicted model, not a curated record.